RNAcentral lists this long non-coding RNA (1295 nucleotides) under Marmota monax (woodchuck). The record is from RNAcentral. Lineage: Eukaryota; Metazoa; Chordata; Mammalia; Rodentia; Sciuridae.
UUUUUUAAAUAUAAUUUUAAACUUCAAUGUUCACUUUGCUUAAAACAUACUCUAUAAUCAUUUCCUUAACUUGGGCAAUUCCCAAAUUAAUUUUGAACAAUAUAAUCAAAUAUAUGGAAAGAUUAUGCUUCCAAAUUCUGGCAUGCAUGAUGUUGAUUUACUUUAUUAGAAAUUAGAAAUGUUUCUCAUAUAUACCAUGUAUGUAUAUUCAUGUGUGUUUGUGUGUAUGUAUAAAUAAUUUAGAGGUCCAUUUUGGAUACAUUAAGCUUAUCUGAUUCUAUAGAUACAGAUAUAUUUGGUUUUUAAAUGUGUUUUUUUUUUCCACUUUGGUAGAAUUUUUGCUGAUUUGUCUAUGACUUGUGACAUUCAUUCAUUCAUUAAUACAAUAAUUCUCUGAACCAAGUAUUUAUUGAGUGAUUUUCAAAGUUUUACUCAAUGUCAAAAAUGACAACUGUUAUGGAGAAUUUGUCUAUUGGAUGCCUGUGACUCUUGACAGUUCACAUGCAUCAUAGUUUAAGUCACUGGUUUUCAAAAUGUUUCUACUUAAUUAAUCCUUCAGUUUCUUGUUCAAAAGAUUUAUUCCUUGGCUCUAUUAGAAGAGAUUCUAGUUUACUAGUUCUGAAAUUCAGCCCUGGCAUUUUAAAUAUGUGUUGUCAGAGGUCAGUGACAGGGUUAUUGUGAAAACCACCUCUUGAAAACCACUGAGCUCACUAAUUGCUAUGAUUUGACUGCAUGCCUCUUAAAUCAAUUGCAACACAAUCCCCAAUGCGGUGGCAUUGAGAAGUGUCAACUUUUGGAAAAGUGAUUAUGUUAUGACGGAUUUGCAGCUAUGGGAAGGUUAAUGCCUUACAAAAAUGCUCUAAACAAUGAUCUUGGACAUUAAUUGUUCUUCUGCUUUUCUAGCUUAUAAAGACAGUGUUCAAGGGCCAUCCUGGAAGCAAAGAAUGGGGCCUUCAGCAGACACUAAACCUGCUUGCACCUUGAUUUUGAGGUGCCAAGCUUUCAGAAGUGUGAGGAAAUAAAUUUCUUUUGAAAAUAAAUUACACAGUCUCAGGUGGUUUGUUACAGCAGCAAUAAUCUGGUAAGAUUACACUAUACUUCCCCCCCAAAAGCUAUUGAAAGAAAUGGGAAUGAAAAUUGAGAAUACAAUGAUGUUAUGAUGGAAGAGUUCAGGCAUUAGACAUUCUAUGUAGCGUUUCCAGUACUGCAUUACUUUUCUCUUUAAAAUAUUUUUUCACUGAAGUGCAUGUUUGUGUCCUCAAAUAAAAAGUUUUUCUUUCCAUGUGGUUCAAUUU